GAGUAUUUAAUUAGGCCCAAUGUACAGCCCAUUUAUGUAAGCGCACCCAAUAUUCCAUGGAAUCCCUUUAUAUAAAGGCGGUCUUUAAUUUUUAUUCUUGAUCUUUAAUUUUUGUCCUUAAUAAUGAAAAUUUGAGGGUUAAAUUACUCUUGACUAUGACAUAAUUUUUUAAGGCAAAAAUUUGGAGAAGUUUUCAUCUAAAUACAAGGCAGUUGAAUACCCGUCACCUUGUAUAUAUCUCAAUCUAACGACAUAAGACGCCUUUUAAGAAAUCUCUUGCACUUGUCACUGGACUAAUCUCUCUUGCAUCACGUUUCCUUCAGGCAAUAUUGUGUAAUACACAAAGCAAGCAAUAGUGGUAAUACACAAAGCAGCUGAGUUAUUGUUCUUUGAUUAUUGUUUUCUAUGAUAGUAGAAGAAUGGUUCAUCCUUCCGUUAAGAAGACAGUAAACGCGAAGGUUUGGAUUGAAGAUCUUCACGAGACAGUCUGAGAUAUCAUAGAAUGUCGAAAAUAAU
RNAcentral lists this long non-coding RNA (516 nucleotides) under Capsicum annuum. RNAcentral describes it as "long non-coding RNA (CANN_LNC005982)". Lineage: Eukaryota; Viridiplantae; Streptophyta; Magnoliopsida; Solanales; Solanaceae. The record is from RNAcentral.